ACGGCAGGAGACCGAGGGUCGCCCCGCGGGGGAAUGGAGGAAACCAGGCGAGAAAGGAGCGGGAAGACCUUGGAGCCGCGGUGUUCGGGCUCCGCGUCCCUUUUCCCCAAAAAUCCACCCCCGCCCCCCGCAGACGGAAAGUCACGCAGUUGUUUGAGACUCGCGCAUCUUUCCUCCUGGUCAGGGGGAUGGCAGUAGGAGCUUCGUCUGGGUCGUCAUGAGGAAUGCAGAGAAUGGAAACGGGACCUUAGAGGACUACCCCCAUUUCACAGUUGAAGUAAAACUGGCCCAGAGAGUGGAAGAACCGCGAAAAAUUACCACAGCUGGGCAGCCUCUGAAAGAGCAGGUCGCUCCCGUUCUUAAUCCACACAAAACUUAAUCGGACCCUUGCAGAUCCUUGUAAACCCAUGCCAGCCGGGCACGGUGGCUUCCCCUGUAAUCCCAGCACUUUGG
RNAcentral lists this long non-coding RNA (453 nucleotides) under Homo sapiens (human). Its description in RNAcentral is "HSALNT0259647". Lineage: Eukaryota; Metazoa; Chordata; Mammalia; Primates; Hominidae. The record is from RNAcentral.